Long non-coding RNA from Macadamia integrifolia, 1350 nucleotides. RefSeq lists it as uncharacterized. The transcript is spliced from 2 exons. The record is from RefSeq and is a predicted model, not a curated record. Lineage: Eukaryota; Viridiplantae; Streptophyta; Magnoliopsida; Proteales; Proteaceae.
GAGCUCUUGGGCUUGCGACACGUGGCUCGGCAUGAUCCAACGGCUAUGAGCGCUUCCCUUGUUGGAUCUCCAUUUUUCAGGGUUCGGGUCUAAACCCAAGUAUUCCUCCCCAUUCAAACCCCUGUUAUUUCUUCCUCCUCCCGCUUCUUAAUUUCUUUUCGCUUUAUUCUAACUUCGAUACUCUCUCUCUUCUCCUCCCUUUCUCAUUUAUCUCUCAGUUCGCCUCCCAUCAAAUCGAUUCUGAAAUCGGUUCUGAAAUUCUAAUCGCUUCUCUCUUCUAGCUCUUAGACAUGGCUGCAACUCUGCUCUGAAACACGGCUUGCCAAUCUCCUUUACCACAGGGCACGCAGACUCAGUUGUCUCUGUUCUCUUUAUAACUGACGAUUUAUUUCUCUCAUCUGAGUUCUGAUCUCUGAUCUUUGAUUUCUGAAACGAAGGUCGGCAUCGCAGAUCUCUGUCCAAUUUUAGCAAGAAGAAAUUAAACAAAGGACACGGCUGCAAAUCCGUUUUAGCAAAUCGGUUCUGAAAUACGGCUCACAAAAGGAUCAGAGAACCAAUUUCUGUUAUUUCUUCCUGCUCUCUCUAUUCCGACUCUGUUUUGGCAUCGAUACAUCACUUGCUCACAAAAGGAUCAGAGGACCAAUUUCUAAACACAGUUUAGAAGACUCUUAGGGCCUUUCUAAUUUCAAUUUACUUUCAAGUUUUGGAGGCAUUGCUGAACAAUUCUUCUCUGCAGUAAUGUAUAUUUGGCCGCCUUCUCUGCAGUAAAGCUAUGUGAACUCAUCUUCGGAACCUAUUCCGUAAUUUCUGUCUCUGUAUCAAGGAAAGAAGAAGUUGGAAAUUUUCCUUUUUUGAAUGUGAAUGGACAAGCAUCAUCUGCAUCCAUUCAGGUGGGUUGUCACAAUGCUGCUGUCCAUCCUGAUUCCAUGACGCAGGAAUAUCAUUCUAUGUGCAGGAGGCAGUAAUGUAUCUUAUCUUCAAUUGGAGGCAUUGCUUGCUGAAAAAUCCAGGUUAGCACAAACCUGAGGAGGGAGAACUAGUGCCUUCACCAGCUAGUGGGGUACCACCAACAGACUUCUCAACAUCUCUUGAUUUGUGCAACUCUGAAGAAGAAUUGUAGAUCAAGUAUCACCCUUUUUUAUUUGAGACAGGUUGUAAAAUUGAAAUUCAUCUGUCACCAGCUAGUGGGGUACCACCAACAGACUUCUCAACAUCUCUUGAUUUGUGCAACUCUGAAGAAGAAUUGUAGAUCAAGUAUCACCCUUUUUUAUUUGAGACAGGUUGUAAAAUUGAAAUUCAUCUGUGGUUGAUGCUUGAUGGUUACUAAUAAAAAAACAGCCCUUUUGGUUA